Molecule: long non-coding RNA, 1199 nt
Organism: Myotis myotis
Lineage: Eukaryota; Metazoa; Chordata; Mammalia; Chiroptera; Vespertilionidae
Exons: 2
Source: RefSeq, a predicted model, not a curated record
GCUGGCGGCUGCCUACACUCUCUCCUGUGACAGGGAGGUGACUUGUUUGUUCUCACAAUUCCCCCCUCUUCUUAUUUGACUGGCUGACAUUCGCUACUUUCCUGCUCUGCCGUCUCGGGAGGAUUGCUUGGCCGGCCGGUCAGUGCGGUGUCCAUUACCCUUGACUCAUCAGCUGGAGGUGAAUCCCGUGGGGCCGCAGUGACGUCCGACUGCUGUGUUGUUGGGGUGAAUGUGCAGCACUGGCCCCACCAGGACACAGCGUCCUCCUCCUUCCGCCAGAGUCGCAUCCAAGGCGACCUGUGCCUCACCCGCCGCGGGCAUCGAGCUGCUGCCCUGCCUCUGUGCGUCAGGGUGUAGAUACAGAGCCUUCCCGGUUCCAGCGAGAGGAACUCACCCACCGCAUUGCUGUGCGCAGUGGCCACCAGCAGGACAGACGCAAACCCGAGUUCCAGCCUUACGCUCCUUGGCACCCCUCCGGGAACUGUUAGGGGCAAAAAUUGAAUUGUGGGACCAGCUCUGCUUAUGGGAAAUGUCCGUUAGCCAUGACUGCCUUGUGUUGGUUAAAGAAAGGACACUCUGACCUGGCUGGGAGUUGUGCGCCCCCAGGCCCUGGAGUCCCGCCCAGCCUCCUACUUCCCCUCCUGCAGUCCCUGCUUCCCAUGUAAUCCUGUCCGACCCCAUACAAGCAGCUGGCUAAUGGGGCUGCAGAGCAGCUUUCUGUGGAUGACCUGCUGCCCUCCCACGCUGCCGGCAGGACUGGAAUAAACGCUCACAUAGGAUGCAGCCCUGUCUCUGCUGAAUUGGCUCACGCACUGACAGGCAGCAAGGACCCCUUGGUUGUCCGGUUACAUAUUCUGGUAACUACAAAGGGAUACAAGUGCGAGACUCCUCUGGGGAGGGGAACACGCCCGGGACUUGCAGAAGCCUGUGGCCAGAAAGGCUGGAGUCCCAGUGUCUGUUGGUCUGCAGCUGUGGUAGCAGGUCUUUGGCUGGAGUGACUGUAGGGUCCCGGGUUGCGUCUGAGGCCAGUCUGGGUGGUGGUGAGGCUGAUCUCUUAUUCACAGCAGCUGUGCCCUUCAAGAUCUGGAAUUCAUAUUUUAAAACUUUUAAAGGACAUAUGCAGAUUCAGAUGGUUUCACUGAAAUAUUCUACCAAUGCUUAAUGAUUAAAUGAUGGCAAUUCUAUGCAUUUUUUUUUUU